RNAcentral lists this ribosomal RNA (877 nucleotides) under uncultured eukaryote. RNAcentral's name for it is "SSU rRNA". It matches the Rfam family "Eukaryotic small subunit ribosomal RNA", at positions 636 to 1469 of the family's 1831-position model. The record is from RNAcentral.
CGGUGUUCAACUGGCGUGUCCGCGGGACGUCCUGCCGGUGGGCUUAGCCCGCAAGGGCGGCCCAACUUCAAAUCCCAUCGCGGUGCUCUUCACUGAGUGUCGAGGUGGGCCGGCACGUUUACUUUGAACAAAUUAGAGUGCUUAAAGCAGGCUAAAACUUCGCCUGAAUACUGUGUGCAUGGAAUAAUGGAAUAGGACCUCGGUUCUAUUUUGUUGGUUUUCGGAACCCCGAGGUAAUGAUUAAUAGGAACGGAUGGGGGCAUUCGUAUUGCGACGUUAGAGGUGAAAUUCUUGGAUCGUCGCAAGACGGACAGAAGCGAAAGCAUUUGCCAAAAACGCUUUCACUGAUCAAGAACGAAAGUUAGAGGUUCGAAGGCGAUCAGAUACCGCCCUAGUUCUAACCAUAAACGAUGCCAGCUAGCGAUCCGUCGACGUUCCUCCGAUGACUCGACGGGCAGCUUCCGGGAAACCAAAGCUUUUGGGUUCCGGGGGAAGUAUGGUUGCAAAGCUGAAACUUAAAGGAAUUGACGGAAGGGCACCACCAGGAGUGGAGCCUGCGGCUUAAUUUGACUCAACACGGGAAACCUCACCAGGCCCGGACACCGGAAGGAUUGACAGAUUGAGAGCUCUUUCUUGAUUCGGUGGGUGGUGGUGCAUGGCCGUUCUUAGUUGGUGGAGCGAUUUGUCUGGUUAAUUCCGAUAACGAACGAGACUCUAGCCUGCUAACUAGGCGUAUUUUCGACAUCUCAAAGGUCCGUCGUCCCGGCCCUCGGGUCGUGGGCGUGCGCGAUUUUUACUGUCGGCGUACUAUCAAUUCUUCUUAGAGGGACAGGUGGCUUCUAGCCGCACGAGAUUGAGCAAUAACAGGUCUGUGAUG